UACGUAGGGGGCAAGCGUUGUCCGGAUUUAUUGGGCGUAAAGAGCGUGUAGGCGGCCUGACAGGUCUGCUGUGAAAACUCGAGGCUCAACCUCGAGAUGUCGGCGGAAACCGUCUGGCUAGAGUCCGGAAGAGGAGAGUGGAAUUCCUGGUGUAGCGGUGAAAUGCGUAGAUAUCUGGAGGAAUACCGGUGGCGAAGGCGGCAUCCUGGACCGACAUUGACGCUGAGGAGCGAAAGCUAGGGGAGCAAACGGG
Molecule: ribosomal RNA, 253 nt
Filed under: uncultured bacterium
Lineage: Bacteria
Description: partial 16S ribosomal RNA
Rfam family: Bacterial small subunit ribosomal RNA
Source: RNAcentral